GAUGAACGCUGGCGGCGUGCCUAAUACAUGCAAGUCGAGCGAACAGACGAGGAGCUUGCUCCUCUGACGUUAGCGGCGGACGGGUGAGUAACACGUGGAUAACCUACCUAUAAGACUGGGAUAACUUCGGGAAACCGGAGCUAAUACCGGAUAAUAUAUUGAACCGCAUGGUUCAAUAGUGAAAGACGGUUUUGCUGUCACUUAUAGAUGGAUCCGCGCCGCAUUAGCUAGUUGGUAAGGUAACGGCUUACCAAGGCAACGAUGCGUAGCCGACCUGAGAGGGUGGUCGGCCACCCGGGAACUGAGACAGAGUCCAGACUCCUACGGUAAGCAGCAGUAGGGAAUCUUACGCAAUGGGCGAGAGCCUGACGGAGCAACGCCGCGUGAGUGAUGAAGGUCUUCGGAUCGUAAAACUCUGUUAUUAGGGAAGAACAAAUGUGUAAGUAACUAUGCACGUCUUGACGGUACCUAAUCAGAAAGCCACGGCUAACUACGUG
RNAcentral lists this ribosomal RNA (497 nucleotides) under uncultured bacterium. RNAcentral's name for it is "partial 16S ribosomal RNA". It matches the Rfam family "Bacterial small subunit ribosomal RNA", at positions 28 to 507 of the family's 1533-position model. The record is from RNAcentral.